AUUGAACGCUGGCGGAAUGCUUUACACAUGCAAGUCGAACGGCAGCACGGGCUUCGGUCUGGUGGCGAGUGGCGAACGGGUGAGUAAUGUAUCGGAACGUGCCCAGUCGUGGGGGAUAACGUAGUGAAAAUUACGCUAAUACCGCAUACGAUCUAUGGAUGAAAGCGGGGGAUCGCAAGACCUCGCGCGAUUGGAGCGGCCGAUAUCAGAUUAGGUAGUUGGUGGGGUAAAGGCCCACCAAGCCAACGAUCUGUAGCUGGUCUGAGAGGACGACCAGCCACACUGGAACUGAGACACGGUCCAGACUCCGACGGGAGGCAGCAGUGUGGAAUUUUGGACAAUGGGCGACAGCCUGAUCCAGCCAUUCCGCGUGCAGGAUGAAGGCCCUCGGGUUGUAAACUGCUUUUGUACAGAACGAAAAGGUUUCUACUAAUACUAGGAGCUCAUGACGGUACUGUAAGAAUAAGCACCGGCUAACUACGUGCCAGCCGCCGCGGUAA
RNAcentral lists this ribosomal RNA (500 nucleotides) under uncultured bacterium. RNAcentral's name for it is "partial 16S ribosomal RNA". It matches the Rfam family "Bacterial small subunit ribosomal RNA", at positions 30 to 523 of the family's 1533-position model. The record is from RNAcentral.